UCUGGUUGAUCCUGCCAGUAGUCAUACGCUUGUCUCAAAGAUUAAGCCAUGCAUGUCUAAGUAUAAAGGUAUUUACAAUGAAACUGCGAAUGGCUCAUUCAAACAGUUAUAGUUUAUUUGAUAUUCAAACUUAUAUUUAUAUUAGUUUAAAUGGAUAACCGUAGUAAUUCUAGAGCUAAUACAUGCGUUACGGGGAACUUUACGGAACCCCAGUAUUUAUUAGAUUUUAAACCAGCAUUCCGCAAGGUCUACUGAGAUGAUUCAUGAUAACUGAUCGAAUUGCUGGGUCUACCAGCAAUAAAUCAUUCAUGUUUCUGCUUCCCAUCAGCUUGAUGGUAGUGUAUUGGACAACCAUGGCAUUCACGGGCUAUCGGGGGAUUAGGGUUCGAUUCCGGAGAGGGAGCCUGAGAAACGGCUACCACUUCUACGGAAGGCAGCAGGCGCGAAAAUUAUCCAAUCCUGAUUCAGGGAGGUAGUGAAAGAAAUAAUGAACUAGGAUUUAUCCUGGGAUCACAAUGGGCUUGAUUUGCAAACUUUAUUAGCGAGGAACAAUUGGAGGGCAAGUCUGGUGCCAGCAGCCGCGGUAAUUCCAGCUCCAAUAGUGUAUAUUAAUGUUCCUGCAGUUAUUCGAUGCUCGUAGUUGGAUUUCUGGGGGCUGAUUCUGGACGGCGGCUAUGGCCGCCACCGGUUUCUUCCUUCAUCCACCUGUUAACGUUGUUCGAGAUUCAUUUCUCGGCUUCGGGCUCAGGUAUUUUACCCUUACUAUAUUCAUUUAUUUAUCUUCUUUUUGAGCAAAUUAUAGUGUUUCAGGCAGGCGUGCGCCGGAAUACUUUAGCAUGGAAUAAUCGAAUUGGACUGUGUUCCUUAUUUGUUGGUUUGAUGGGCACAGAAUGGUUAAUAGGGAUAGUAAUUUUCAGGGGAGGCAUUAGUAUUUAAUUUCCAGAGGUGAAAUUCUUUGAAAUAUUAAAGACUAACUUAUGCGAAAGCAUUUAUUUUGCCAAUAAUGUUUUCAUUAAUCAUUGAACGAAAGUUAGGGGAUCAAAGACGAUCAGAUACCGUCCUAGUCUUAACCAUAAACGUUGCCGACUAGGGAUCGGAGGGCGUGCACAUUCCGCCUUCGGCACCUUACGAGAAAUCAAAGUCUUUUGGGUUCUGGGGGUAGUAUGGUCGCAAGGCUGAAACUUAAAGGAAUUGACGGAAGGGCACCACCAGGAGUGGAGCUUGCGGCUCAAUUUGACUCAACACGGGAAAUCUUACCAGGUCCAGACAUAGCGAGGAUUGACAGAUUGAUAGCUCUUUCUUGAUUCUAUGGGUAUUUUUGGUGGUGCAUGGCCGUUCUUAGUUGGUGGAGUGAUUUGUCUGGUUAAUUCCGUUAAACGAACGAGACCUCAGCCUGCUAAAUAGAUACUUGUC
RNAcentral lists this ribosomal RNA (1413 nucleotides) under metagenome. RNAcentral describes it as "SSU rRNA". It matches the Rfam family "Eukaryotic small subunit ribosomal RNA", at positions 1 to 1367 of the family's 1831-position model. The record is from RNAcentral.